Molecule: long non-coding RNA, 678 nt
Filed under: Astyanax mexicanus (Mexican tetra)
Lineage: Eukaryota; Metazoa; Chordata; Actinopteri; Characiformes; Acestrorhamphidae
Description: lncRNA (ENSAMXG00005001263.1)
Source: RNAcentral
UUCAAUUCACCGUGAAGAAUGACAUCUUUUCCACCGCCUGUGGACUGGGGGACGUACUUGAACUUGAACUAGAACACUGUGAGCUAACUUAAAGCCGUUAACACCGAGGCUAGCCACUUUUUCUUACGUUUGUAGCUGAUUUUGUAUCUCACACACGGACUCGGGCACGGCUGUAGCUGCUAAAUAAACCACCAUAAACAACGAAGCGCAACACACCACCAAUGGUGCUUAAAAUGGCGAAAACUUGUUCACACAGUCCCUGAUUCACCUGGGUUCUUUCAAACAGCUUCUCAAUCAGACUUCCCACAGAAUUUUGAAGAUGAAAGGAGAGUCUUAUUCUUGACAGGAUGAUACAGAGGCUGACCCCAGAGUUCACAGCUGUAAUUGAGAAGUCUCACAGGCACGUGCACACGGGGGCCCAGGAGAGACCACCGCCGCCGCAGUGAGGCCGCUACCUCUCCAGAAAGAGGCAGUGAAAGGUAUGUGGAAAAAAUAUUUAAAACGUAUGAUAAAAUUAUUAUUUUUUUUAUCUUUCUUUUUUAGUAAUGCCUUAUGUUUCACUUAACCUCUUUAUAUGAAAUAUUCAGCACUACAAAAUGCAGGCAAAUGCCACACAUUCACCCUUGAUGCUGAACAUUAAAAGUUAAUUAGAUGCUCACCCUUAAAGUUUUAUAGCUG